This 358-nucleotide unclassified non-coding RNA is filed under the name soil metagenome. RNAcentral's name for it is "partial contains 5.8S ribosomal RNA, internal transcribed spacer 2, and large subunit ribosomal RNA". The stretch from base 1 to 120 matches the Rfam family "5.8S ribosomal RNA", at positions 35 to 154 of the family's 154-position model. The record is from RNAcentral.
GAUGAAGAACGUAGUGAAAUGCGAUACGUAAUGUGAAUUGCAGAAUUCAGUGAAUCAUCGAAUCUUUGAACGCACAUUGCGCCCGCCAGUAUUCUGGCGGGCAUGCCUGUCCGAGCGUCAUUUCAACCCUCGAACCCCUCCGGGGGGUCGGCGUUGGGGACCUCGGGAGCCCCUAAGACGGGAUCCCGGCCCCGAAAUACAGUGGCGGUCUCGCCGCAGCCUCUCCUGCGCAGUAGUUUGCACAACUCGCACCGGGAGCGCGGCGCGUCCACGUCCGUAAAACACCCAACUUCUGAAAUGUUGACCUCGGAUCAGGUAGGAAUACCCGCUGAACUUAAGCAUAUCAAUAAGCGGAGGA